AGGAGAAACCGUUAGAGAGAGGCGAUUUUUGAUGGAGAAAGCUUUUCAGGUUUAAAUUUGAUUUUGGUUACUGUUUUUCGCUUAUUAUGAUCGUAAACACCAAUCGGUCAGAUCUUUGUUCCUGAAGAAGAAAUUACUUAUAGUUGAAAAUGAUAUUUGUAAUCAUCUUCCCUAUUCCUGAAGAUGAAAUCCAAUGACUCACUGAAAAUUGAUGAGAGAGAGAUGGUCAUUGUUGUUGAUGACGACGAUAGAGAAUAUGAAGGAGAUUUAAUAAUGGCAUCAGAUUAACAAAUCCUAGAGCUAUGACGGUUAUUAUAAAGCAUGGAACUGGAAUUUUGUGUGUCAGCAUGCAAAGAGAAGACUUGGAUAGGUUACAACUUCUUUUAAUGGUUCAUAAUAAGGAGAAAGAGGAGAAACUUCGUACAACAUUCACAAUAAUAGAGGUUAUCUGCUAAAUUUACCUAUGCAAAUAUGGAUGUUAUCCAACUGGAGAUUGGCUUGGUAUUUUUCUCAGUCUGUGCGAUUAGGGUGGCAGUUUGGAUAUCAUGGAUUUUUUGGAUCUUUGCAGUGGUGUACAUUAUUGUACACACCAAUGUAAAUUAAAAAAAUUUAAAAAUGAAAAUUAUAUAGUCAUAUGGGUACUCCUUUUGUAACUCUCGAAAAAUGCUUUCCAAAUAUAUAAAGUUUGUCGAUUUUGGACGAGCAGUUCAAAAGAUAAAUUGUUUUUAA
Molecule: long non-coding RNA, 729 nt
Organism: Papaver somniferum (opium poppy)
Lineage: Eukaryota; Viridiplantae; Streptophyta; Magnoliopsida; Ranunculales; Papaveraceae
Exons: 3
Source: RefSeq, a predicted model, not a curated record